GGGUCAGUAGGUUGGUCGUGCCACCGGUACGUACUGUUCUCACUGAUUCCUCCUUCCUGAAGAACCGUAAUGCCAUUAAUUUGGUGUUGCGGGGAAACAGGACAGUUACUUUGAAAAAAUUAGAGUGUUUAAAGCAAGCUAACGCUUGAAUACAUUAGCAUGGAAUAAUGAAAUAGGACGAUCGAUCCUAUUUUGUUGGUUUCUAGGAUUGACGUA
This 216-nucleotide ribosomal RNA is filed under the name Glomeromycotina sp. RNAcentral describes it as "partial small subunit ribosomal RNA". The stretch from base 37 to 216 matches the Rfam family "Eukaryotic small subunit ribosomal RNA", at positions 683 to 864 of the family's 1831-position model. The record is from RNAcentral. Lineage: Eukaryota; Fungi; Glomeromycota.